AUAAUCCUACCACAAUGUAAACACCGGUUCUCGUCCGAUCUGCGAAGUUAAGCAAUGUCGGUCCCGGUCGUUACUUGGGAGGGUGACCACUUGUGUGGAUGUUGUAGGGUAUUCUUUU
This is a non-coding RNA of Cordylochernes scorpioides, 118 nucleotides long. Lineage: Eukaryota; Metazoa; Arthropoda; Arachnida; Pseudoscorpiones; Chernetidae. The record is from the annotation of a GenBank genome assembly.